This 426-nucleotide ribosomal RNA is filed under the name uncultured bacterium. RNAcentral describes it as "partial 16S ribosomal RNA". It matches the Rfam family "Bacterial small subunit ribosomal RNA", at positions 354 to 796 of the family's 1533-position model. The record is from RNAcentral.
GUGAGGAAUAUUGGGCAAUGGGCGAAAGCCUGACGGAGCAAUGCCGCGUGAAGGAUGAAGGCCUAUGGGUUGUAAACUUCUUUUCUCAGAAAAGAAUUAUGACGGUAUCUGAGGAAUAAGCAUCGGCUAACUCUGUGCCAGCAGCCGCGGUAAGACAGAGGAUGCAAGCGUUAUCCGGAAUGAUUGGGCGUAAAGCGUCUGUAGGUUGUUUAAAAAGUAUUCUGUCAAAGAUUAGGGCUUAACCCUAGAUAGGCAGAAUAAACUUUUAAGCUAGAGUUUGGUAGAGGCAGAGGGAAUUCCCGGUGGAGCGGUGAAAUGCGUAGAUAUCGGGAGGAACACCAAAGGCGAAGGCACUCUGCUGGGCCAAUACUAACACUGAGAGACGAAAGCGAGGGGAGCAAAUGGGAUUAGAAACCCGAGUAGUCC